This is a long non-coding RNA of Rosa chinensis, 1684 nucleotides long. RefSeq lists it as uncharacterized. NCBI's taxonomy places the organism in Eukaryota, Viridiplantae, Streptophyta, Magnoliopsida, Rosales, Rosaceae. The record is from RefSeq and is a predicted model, not a curated record. The transcript has 2 exons.
UGCAGGAAACUAAAGCUUUUGUUUGUAUAAUUUUGUUUCUUCAUUUUGUCUUACUAUGGUUGUUUCUUAUAUUCUGAGGUAGGUACUUGAUUCAUUGGUUACUCUGAAAAAUCUCAAUUUGAAGUAGGAAAUGGUUUAAGGACAGUCUCUGUGUAGCUUAUGAUAUAUAUUGUAUGGUGUAAUCUGAGCUUUGGGUAUAUAAAAUGGUGCUAAUAUUUAUUCUUUAAAUGGCAGUACAUUCUUUAGGAACUGAAGGAAUGAAAAAAGAUGGACCACAAAUCCUGCUAGCGGAUAAAGAUUGAGUAUAUACUGUUCUGUGCGAGUGACAUCAAGGCGUUACUGUUCAUUCGAGCCCCAAUUGAAUGACGCUUUUGCCCUUCUCUUCUUUGUCUAAUUACGGGUUGCCAUGCUUCUAUACGUUUGCAGACGUCUCUAUAUGAGGCAACCGACCUCAUACUUUUCCAGGAGUCUCUAUGUUGAGGCAAUAUAGAGAACCACAGUCGUUUCCAGAAGUCGAUCGCCUGAUCUACUGAAAGUCCAAAGUCACGGUAGCAAGACAACGGGAAACAACCUCUUCCUCCUUCUUGAUCUACAAAGUAUGAGGUGCGUAGUUCCUUUUUGUUAAUCUUUCGUGUGUGUUUGCGAUUAUCACCGAAUUCAAUUUCUAUUGUAACCAGUUUGCUUCAAAAAUCUGCUUCCUUAACUAAUCUGGGACAUGUCCCUCUGAAGUAAAUUUGACAGCAGUCCCUAAUAAGUUGCAUAAUAUUUGCUUAAGCCUUCUCCUAUCACCGCUCACGUGUGCAAACUUUAGGAAAGAGCAAUCAUAAGGAUCCAACACCACAUCUACGCCCUUCUUUAAACCCGAUGGAAGAAAGAAAUCGAUUACCUCUUCAACAAGUUGGAAUAUGUCAAAUUCCUCAUCUUCAAGUACCAUCUUACCCGCUUCAAUUUUGCUUUUAUCAAGAAUAGAGUUCAAAAUACCUGUAAAACAAUUAAGUACACAAUUUGAAAUAACCACAACAACGGAAAAUUUGGUUUCAUUGAGAAAUAUUAAUCAUAUAUAUAGCUUCCCAUUCCUCUUAGUUUAGGUUUUUGGAGAAUAUGAAUCACGGUGGAUUUGCCGUAGAACUUAUGGGUCUGUCUCCUCGAGCAACCGAGAGGGAUGUCUAUGAUUCUUCAUUUUUUCUCCUUCUCUUACUCAAUUGAGAGCAUUGAAAUGGUCAGGUAUAGAUGAGCAAUUUGUGCGAGAGCUCAUAAUUUUACCUUAUUUUUUUAUUUCCGGUAAAUCAUAUUUUUGUUGUUUGGUUUGAAAAAUUACAGAUCCAGUGAAUGUGCAUGUACUGCCUAUGUGACGUUCAAGGAUCCGUACUCUCAUGAGACUGCUUGCUUGCCCAGUGCGAGUCUUUCCUCAACUCAUUGCCCUUUAUUAAUAAAUGUUAAUGUCACUGGGGAAGCCAAAGUUAUUUUGUCAUUGCUUUAAUGCAUGUUGCUAUGUUUUAAUACUUCAAACUGUUUUAGUAGCUGAUAAUUUGGAGGAAAGGGAAAGCAGAUAUGUAGUGAUUAAUAUGUUUGCUUUGGUCAGCUUCAAAUGCUGAAUGAGAAAUAAUUAUAGUUAUCACAAAUUGAUUGUAAGUCUACCAUCGGUCAUUUUUAUGGCAUAAGAAAAGAUGUUGCUUUCAUUGGA